RNAcentral lists this ribosomal RNA (253 nucleotides) under uncultured bacterium. RNAcentral's name for it is "partial 16S ribosomal RNA". It matches the Rfam family "Bacterial small subunit ribosomal RNA", at positions 524 to 776 of the family's 1533-position model. The record is from RNAcentral.
UACGUAGGGUGCGAGCGUUAAUCGGAAUUACUGGGCGUAAAGCGUGCGCAGGCGGUUUUGCAAGCCGGAUGUGAAAUCCCCGGGCUUAACCUGGGAAUGGCAUUUGGGACUGCAAGGCUGGAGUGCGGCAGAGGAGACUGGAAUUCCUGGUGUAGCAGUGAAAUGCGUAGAUAUCAGGAGGAACACCGAUGGCGAAGGCGGGUCUCUGGGCCGAUACUGACGCUGAGGAGCGAAAGCGUGGGGAGCGAACAGG